AUGGGGAUCUCCGUCGCCGUCCCCUCCCUCCUCCUCCUCUCCGUCGCCCUCCUCCUGCCGCCGGCCGCCGCGCGAUUCUCCUUCACCUACAACUUCACCGCCGCCUCGGACUCGGCCCCAUCGGGCAUCUCCUUCCAGGGCGACGCCUUCUUCAACAAGUUCAUCCGCCUCACCCGCGACGAGCGCGUCGGGCCCCUCACCAGCAGCGCCGGCCGGGCCUUCUUCUCCCGCCCCAUCCCACUCUUCGACCCUGUCUCCCGCCGCCCCGCCUCCUUCGCCUCCGCCUUCUCCUUCUCCAUCUCCGCCCCCGAACCCUCCGCCGCCUCCGGCGACGGCCUCGCCUUCUUCCUCUCCCCGUUCCCCUCCGUCCUCCCCAACAGAUCCGCUGGCGGCCUUCUGGGGCUCUUCAACUCCUCCGCCCGCAACGGGGGCCGCUCCGUCGUCGCCGUCGAAUUCGACACCUUCAGGAACGAUUGGGACCCCAGCGACGACCACGUCGGCAUCGACCUCGGGGGCAUCGCCUCCGUGGCCACCGCCGACUGGCCAACCAGCAUGAAGGACGGCCGCACGGCGCACGCGCACGUCGCGUACGACGCGGAGGCCAAGAACCUCACCGUGGCCCUCUCCUACGGCGACGCUCCCCCCACGGACGUCCUUCUGUGGUACGCCGUCGAUUUGAGGGAGCACCUGCCCGACGCCGUGGCCGUUGGCUUCUCCGCCGCCACCGGCGAGGCCGCCGAGCUGCACAAGGUCCUGUACUGGGAUUUCACCUCCAGCGUCGACAGCAAGGAGCAGACGGUGGUGCUGUGGGUGGUACUAGGAUUGUGCGGAUUCCUUGUUGUGCUGGUCGGUGCAGGGAUUGUUUGGUUCGUGAAAGAAUGGAGGAAGACCGGAGAGUGUGUCCCCUACGUCGAUAUCGACGAUGCAAUGGGGUACGACGAGCUAGCUGACGAGUUCAUCGUGCAGAGCGGGCCAAGACGGUUCCGUUAUGCUGAACUGGUGGCAGCAACCAAAAAUUUCUCCGAGCAGAGGAAGCUCGGGCAGGGCGGGUUCGGUGCUGUUUACCGGGGAUUCUUGAAGGAGCUCGGUCAGGAGGUGGCCAUCAAGAGGGUCUCCAAGGGGUCGACCCAGGGCCGCAAGGAGUACGCGGCCGAGGUACGCAUCAUCAGCCAGCUGCGCCACCGGCAUUUGGUCCGGCUUGUCGGGUGGUGCCAUGAACACCGUGGUGACUUCUUGCUCGUCUAUGAGCUCAUGCCCAAUGGCAGCGUCGACCAGCACCUCUACGGCAAGGGCGUGCACCUCACCUGGCCGACACGGUAUGACAUUGCACUGGGCCUCGCGUCGGCCCUGCUCUACCUCCACGAGGAGUGCCUUCAGUGCAUCGUGCACCGCGACAUCAAGCCGAGCAAUGUGAUGCUGGAUGCCACCUUCAGUGCCAAGCUCGGCGACUUUGGCCUUGCCAAGCUCGUUGAGCAUGGCAGCCAGCCCUACACCACCGUCCUGGCUGGCACGCUGGGCUACUUGGCGCCAGAGUGCCUGACGACAGGCAAGUCAAGCCGAGAGUCGGACGUGUACAGCUUCGGCGUCGUGGCACUGGAAAUUGCUUGUGGACGGCAGCCAUCGGAGCCCACGGCGGAGCCGAGCAAGGCGAGGCUGGUGCCGUGGGUCUGGGAGCUUUAUGGGAAGAAUGCCCUUCUUGAAGCAGCGGACUGGAGGUUGAAGGGGGAGUUUGAUGAGAAGCAGAUGGAGCGUCUGAUGGUGGUCGGGCUAUGGUGCGCUCACCCCGACUACACGCAUAGACCAAGCAUCAGGCAGGCCCUGAAUGCCCUGAAAUUUGAGGCGCCAUUGCCUGUGCUGACACCGAAGAUGCCGGUGCCGACGUUCUUCCCUUUGCCUGACUUGGCUGCUCUGGUAUCAUCUGUUGGAGGUGCGUCCAACACACAGAACCCAGGCGUUACCGAGUGCGAGUCAUCAGGGGCUAAUGCUGGCAAAGGGUCCUCGGUGAGGGACAGACUUCUGGAGCCGUGA
RNAcentral lists this ribosomal RNA (2028 nucleotides) under Triticum aestivum (bread wheat). RNAcentral's name for it is "partial small subunit ribosomal RNA". Lineage: Eukaryota; Viridiplantae; Streptophyta; Magnoliopsida; Poales; Poaceae. The record is from RNAcentral.